GAUGAAGAACGCAGCGAAAUGCGAUACGUAGUGUGAAUUGCAGAAUUCAGUGAAUCAUCGAAUCUUUGAACGCACAUUGCACCUCUCGGUAUUCCGGGAGGUAUGCCUGUUCGAGCGUCAUUUGUACCCUCAAGCUCUGCUUGGUGUUGGGUGUUUGUUCCGCCUCUGUGUGUGAACUCGCCUCAAAACAAUUGGCAGCCGGCGUACUUGUUUCGGAGCGCAGCACAUUUUGCGAUCCAGAUCAACGUACAGCGGCAUCCAAGAAGCCUUUUUUAACGCUCUUGACCUCGGAUCAGGUAGGGAUACCCGCUGAACUUAAGCAUAUCAAUAAGCGGAGGA
RNAcentral lists this unclassified non-coding RNA (339 nucleotides) under soil metagenome. Its description in RNAcentral is "partial contains 5.8S ribosomal RNA, internal transcribed spacer 2, and large subunit ribosomal RNA". The stretch from base 1 to 120 matches the Rfam family "5.8S ribosomal RNA", at positions 35 to 154 of the family's 154-position model. The record is from RNAcentral.